UUAAUAUCAUUAUAUUGCAUGCAAUAUUAGUUUUUAUUAGUCGCCAUUAACAAGAUGUUUUCUACUUGAAUUCUCAUUUACUUGUUCAAUGCAAAAAUUAUCUUUGUAAAAGAGAAAAACACAUCUUCAAGUGUCAGCUAUAUUAAAUUAAAGAACUGUUUACCCUUCCUAAGGAAAGCAUAUGUAUCUAAAUAGGCAUCUUUUACCGUUUGCAUAGUAGAUUGGAAAUUAGCAUUUUUGUUCAUUUUCCCAUGUAUGCACAGCGCCUGGAAGAGUAAUACUCCAUGCAUAUCAGAUCAGCCAGCCUACAAUUUUUGUGCAAUAUAUUAUUUGGCAAUCUAAAAUUUGUAAUUUGCAUGAAAUUGCUUAAUUAAAAUACAGUCACUCAGGGUAUUAAUUUCUCUGUCUGGCAGUUCAACGUACUAAAGGCGGGCUACAGAAAAUGUGAAAUCCUGUCAGAUGUAACAGUAAAAUAUUAACAAAAAAAAAUCCACUUCUGGCAACAAAGUGACAGAGUGAUAAUGCUUUUGCCCUGAUUCCGGGUUCAAAUACGAGCUUGGGUUGACAUUGAAACCGACGAGGAAAUUUACAAUAGCAACUCUGGCUUUUUGCCAAUAAAUCUGCAUCACGGACCUUUCUUGGCGAAACCCUUUUCCCUCUCCCCACCCCCUUUACAUUUUUCCCUACUAGCAAAGACGAAGAAGAAAAAAUCCCUUUUCUGAAACCCAAGUCCCUUACUAUUUUCGGCAGCUUGCUUUUGAAAUCAGCAACCCUACUGAUAAAAUGAUCCAAUCAGUCCUUCCCAGUUGUCAAGACAACAGUUCAUAAUUGUACCAGCUCUUUUCAUUGCAGCUAGACAUUUCAUAAAUAGAUAAUUCUCUAAUUGAUCCAGCCAAUCCUACUUUGCAUACCCUGCCAAACUAGCACAGACUCUUUAGUGCAAUCCUGAUUUCUGUAUUAAUGAAUUGAGAAGAUGACAUCAGGCUCUUAGGUUUGCCGUGAUUAAUGAAGUUUAAGACUAUGUGAACCGAAUGGCCAAAAUAUUAGCCUCUGCUGUUGAUAAUGGAGGAGGAACACUGACAAAGUUAACAGGAGCAAAAACUGGGAUGUUACUCCUUCCAUCAUGUUACACCCAUGUUGCCUUCCAGGCUGCAGAAUGGCUAUGUAUGGUAUUGUUGUAACACUGGAAUUUAUGAAAUGUACUUCCAUGUUUGAUGUACUACGUUUGACCUAGCAGUGUGUACAAUAGAAGGCUGCAAUGUAAAUCCUCCCUUAAUUGCUAUGACAUACAUACCAAUGAAAUUAAAAUAUAUGCAGUUUAGUUUAGAAACUGAAUUUCUAUCAGAGACUAAAAGGCACAUUUGUAAUAUGGCUGCAAUACAGUAAAGCAGAGCUUACUGUGUCUGGUCAGUACACAAAUGUUAUAAAUGGGCAUAUUGCAUCCAUAAAUCAUAUCUUUCGGUAGUACGACAUUUUAUGAAAUUCCACUCUGCAAAUUCCCUUAGAAUUAUUUGUGGAGAUGCACAUGUCAGUGGUUACUUUUUCUCCCGGAAAAGUGAUAAGGCCAGAAGAUAUGCUUUGAGGUCACAGGCCACGAGUAACCUUAUACAUAUUAAAAAUUCUGCCAUAUAUCAGUGUUCCAAGAUUUCAGCAGUCUCUGGAACAUUAAACCUUCUGUCAUUUUCAUUCCUACUGGGUUUGAUUCUGCUGAGGUUUAGUGGAAUUAUAAACACAUAUGAAAAUAUGCAGAAUAUAUUUCUUGUUUGAAGUGAUUAUAAUGUGAUGUUUCUGCACUGCAGCAUUCAUAAUAAAGCAAAUGUGGUGUUUCAGUGCAAUAUGACAUCUCAAGUAAUCUUCUCAACAAAUAAGCAGUGUAAAACAAAACAUCCACUCUUUUACCUGCUUUAAAGACACAGAACAAAUGGAUUUAUCCCUACAAACUUUUAAAAAUCUUCUACAUCAGACAUUGCCUUCAAGUUUUCAAAUCCUCAUAGUUUUCAGACACAGUUUUGUCAAAUGAAAUGAUCUAACAUUUGUUAAGUUCUUCCUUACAAAUAAAACAAUAAUAUCUCAAGUAAGUAGCGGCAGUUUUUAAUCUAUUGAUCAUUUUGAGCACCAAAGAAGAUGACUGACAGUGAGCAACAUUUACCUGACACCCUUGAACAUUUCACAGAGACAAGUUGAUAUGAGUUUGUAUAAAUACUAAUAUUAAGCAGAAUUAGCUUUGGAAAAAAUAAAGAAAUUGUACUGAGGUGAAAAUUGUCACUGUCAGGAGAAAUGAAGUUAUAUCAGAGAACAAGUGACAUACAAUUUUCUCUAGAGUGUUUUUAAUAAAAAUAGCUUUUCUUUGAAUAUUUUGAAGUCAAACAUGAGAGGCAAUCUGUGCGUUUGUC
This is a long non-coding RNA of Struthio camelus australis, 2393 nucleotides long. RefSeq lists it as uncharacterized. The record is from RefSeq and is a predicted model, not a curated record. NCBI's taxonomy places the organism in Eukaryota, Metazoa, Chordata, Aves, Struthioniformes, Struthionidae.